GCAGCCCUGGCUGGGGACCCGGAGGAGGGCGAGCCAGGAUGAGGCCCCCGAGCCUGGGAGGGGGAGAGGCCGGGAGGGAGGCCUGGCGCAGGCGUCCGCCUGACCCGGUUCAGACUUUCUCAAACCCACACGGCCGUCCACCGUCCACCUGGACCGGUGUCGCCCGUAUCACUUCCGCUGCGCACUGAGCACAGACGCUCAUGACUGGUGGUGCACGCGCUGUUUGCUCCAGUCCGUGUAACCUGAAGUCGCCGCCAUCAAGAUCGUGGUCCUCAUCCGCACACUCACGUUCCUGGCAGAAGGUGGAAAACCCAGGGGUCCAUCAGCAAACAAAACGUGGUCUAUCCAUACAGUGGAACAUCACUCAGUCUUAACGAGGAAGGAAACGCUGACACCUGCUACAGCAAGGGCCUCGAGGACAGGAUGCUGAGUGGAACCGGCCAGUCACGGAAGGACAAGUACUGUGUCAUUCACUCAUAGGAGAUCGUCAAAUUCAGAGACACAAAGUAGAAUGGGAUGGGGGAGGGAGGGCGGGGGGGAGGGGGACAGCCGAGUUCUUAUUUAAUGAGGACGGACUUUCGGUUUGGGAGAAUGAAAAAGUGUUGGAGGUGGUUGCACGACAGUGUGAAUGUAAUGAAUACCACAGAACUGUGCACCUAGAAAUGGCUGAAUGGUAAAUUUUAUGUUUGUGCAUUUUACCACGAUUUAAAAAAACAAAAAACAAAAACAAAACCGAAAUGCCUCCAUGCGCCCAAGAGCUCAUCCUGCACGGGGAUCUACACACCAAGACUACCUGGAAGGCCCCUGCACCUUCCAACCAGAAGUAUUUGUCUCCUGGGCGGGCUUGCGUGGACCUGGCCAGAAUGGCCUCAUGCAGCUGGGCCUUGAGACCAGUGAGUGAAAUCUGGGCACUUCACUUACCUGCAAAGAGACAUCACAGUGGCCAGUGGGAAAGCUCAAGACUCGAGUGGCGGGGCAAACUGUCCUGCGGGGCCUCACAGGCUUGGAAUUCAGGGCCACAGGAAGUGGGGACAGGACCUGAAUGUUCCAUGGCCUCCUGGAGAGAAGCCUCACAGCCGGGCAGUGCACCCUCCUAGUGGCCUCCCAGAGGCUCCUCUUCCGGGAGGCAGGGAGUAGAGGGCAGGGGCUGUUCACUGUAGCCACAGUGACGCUGCUUUUCCGGAUUCCCAAGUCUGCCCGAGACGGCUUCGGACAGACACGGUGCCCCUGUGCAGUGCAAAGCCCUCCAACAGAUCCUCUUUAAGGUUCUUGGGGGUCCGCUCUGUCCCAGGGAAGGACACAGCAUCCCGACUACUGGCCCUACCCCAUCCCCACUGUGGCCUCACUAGAGAGUGAAAGCAGAAAGGAAAAGGAGGCUCAGAGAGGUUAAGUGACAUGCUCAGGGUCACACAGCUGAUAACCUCAGAGCCAGGACCGGAAACCAGUCGCUCUGACCACAGAACUCACACUCUCCUACAACUGUGUUUCUCAACUAGGAGUGGGUGAGUGAGUGUGUGGAGAGGAGCCCCAAGACAGACGCGGAUCAGCCCCCAGAGCAUUAGGUUUACUCAGACAUCUGGGGUGGGAGGUGGGGAAGCAAGCCAAUGGAUAAAAUCUUACUUCUUCAUUACUCGACUUCAUUACCUCAUCCGCAUAGUAAAGGGGCAGAGCACAACACCCGUAUGGAUUCUUCAGCAAACCCAGGGACUUCGGGCUGGCAUCCGUCCCAUCUUCUGAGUUCACUGGCCCCCACAAUUAAGGAAACAUUGGUGGAAAAGUUCGAGAAGGUUAUGUUCCAUCUGCCACUUUGGGGAGAAAGUACCACCCCAUCCUGUGACGUGCUUCACGACGACUCACCAAAUGAAAGGAUAAGUCCGCUGGAACAGGUCGGCACGGGUGUCCUUUGUGGCUGCCUCCCAAGCCCCCCAGGUAUACUUCACGCCCACUGCAGAGCCCAACGCGCGGCUUGGAUUCACAACCCUGAGAUCAAGACUUACACUGAGAUAAGAGUCAGAUGCUUAACCGACUGAGCCACCCAGGCGCCCUUUGCUGCCUCUAUUCUGGCUGGGACCCACACCCUGCCUUACACAUGCCUUUUAGGACAGAUAAUAUAUGUCUUCCUUAUAAAGGUCAAGGAGUUAAUGAUUUCUUUGGAAUUUUCCAGCACAACAGAUAACAUCUAAGGAGUGACCGGGUCGGGCAUCAUUCCCAAGACCACUGAGCCACCAAGACCCCUGGCUCCGGGGCAUUAGUGCCUUACAGAGGACCUCUAAACACUCGCCUUUGUUCCUGGAUGCCUGAGAAGACGUGUGCACAGGACCACAGUCCUCAGUAAAAACCCCAGAGUCCAAGCAAAGACUCUCUCUCCUUUCCGAGUCUCCCAGACACGGUCUGUCCCUGCACUCUGUGUCUGCAAGAAACUCCACUCUCACCUCCUGCGGGCCCGAAUUUGAUGUCACUCCUGCGAGAACCCAAGUACCCUCUUGUUUGGUUCCGUGAGACCCCCUCUGGGUCCUCAGACCCAGCCAGCCUGCAUUAAGGGGGGGUGCCCUGUGGCCCCGGCGCCUCCUGCUUCUCUGGACUUGACCCUGAUCCCGGCCACCCAGCCAUCACCAGGCAGUGUCUGGGAGAGAGAACGCCUGCUGCUUUUCUCACUUGCCCCGGCAGGGAGAGGGCCUAAAGAGGGGUGCAGCAACUCCCUGAGGCGCUGGAGCCUGGGGCGCCCCAGGGAUGACAGAGGCACCGCCCCGGCCCCUGGAGGUAGUGGUCCUUUGUGCCUCCCAGGCUGAGUCCCUGCACCCUUCCAUCAGUCUGUCCAUCUGACACACGGCGACCCGGCCACCCCAGGGUGAGGGAGACAGGAAGGUGCUUCUGAGAGCAUAGCCCUGGCAGACGCUCUGUGUGCUCAGGGGCUCUAGGACCCACAGGGGAGGCUGAGCAGGUGGGACUCCCUUCUUCUCUAAGGAGGGCUGUUGUUGGGCUCCUCAGUAAGACUCCCCCUGACGAGCGAUUAAGCUACUAAAAACCAUUUGGGGCCCCGCCCCCCCCCCCCAUGAGGUGUCCAGUCAUGACCCCCAGGGCUGCACUGCACCAAGACCUCAUCGUUCCUCUUUGGGCCUCCUUACAGAAGGCCCCUUGAGACAGAAGAGCAUUGGACUAAAUCAAACAGACCCGGAAGAAAACCCCAAACAACAGUGGCUUAGACAAGAUGAAAGUUUCAUUUUCUUGCACUCUCAAGACGUUUACAGGUGGCCGGGGCUCGUGCGGCAAGCAGUGUCACAGUGCCAGGACCCUGAGCUCCUUGCAUACUGUGGCUCUGCCGUGCAGUCUUCAUUUCCAACCUCAUCACCUCAUGGUCCAAAAUGGCUGCUAACGCUCCUGCCAUUAGAUCUGCAUUACAGGCAGCAGAAGGAGAAAGGGGAGUAAGGUGUGUCUUGCCCUUUAAGAACCUUUCCUAAUGUCAAACACUAUUUUUACAUCCAGGCCAAAAUUUAGUCACAUGGUCACACCUAAGUAUAAUGGAGACUGGGAAGUAUCUUGAUUCCAAGCAGCAAAUGCCCAGGUAACGUAGCAGGGGUUCUAAUCCCUUGGACCACUGGAGGUGGUGGGGUGGGGACAGGAACCCGGAGGACAGUGAGCAGUCUCUGCUACAACCACCAACGAGCUGUGUGCCCUUGGGCAAGUCCCUUCACCUCUCUGAGCUCCUGUCUGGGGGUGUAGGGUGGUGUCUCCCAUGGGGGUACAGGAAGGCUGUCUCCAAGGCCCCUCCGUGCCCGGACAUUUUGUGACCUUGCAGCAGGGAGCCCAGGGAGGCUAAAACCAAGGACAGAAGAUGAUCCUGUUUUAAAGUUGCUGGUUCUCAGGUUUACAGAUCGCCACGAGCGUUCGACGUGAUGAUUGAUUUUCCACCUGCAAGCUGACUGUCACAGCCUGGAAGUGUCCACAAGCUGCACGAGGCCUGGACCUUGCCUGCCUCUCUUAUGCUGUCUCAAGUGCAGAACAACAGAGACCCCACCAGACAAUGGUUGGAGGAACCCCGAGCCCAGCACCCAGCCUUCAUCAGCCCACCGAUUCUCACAUGGCUUGUAUAAUCACACCCACUCUGGCGGUGAGCAAACUGAGGCUCACAACAUGAAAACCUUGUCUGGGACCCAGGACCAAGGACCCAGGACCCGGGCUGCAUUUGACUUUCAUGUGCCCAAGGCAUUUUACCUUUCUGGGCUCCUUCCUCCAUUAAAAAUACAAAAGUUCUGGGGCAUCUGGGUGGCUCAGUCGGCUAAGCAUCCAACUCUUGAUUUCAGCUCAGAUCAUGAUCUCAUAGCCACGAGAUCCAGCCCGGUGUCAGGCUCUGCACUGAUACCGUGGAGCCUGCUUGGGAUUCUCUCUCUCUCUCUCUCUCUCUCUCUCUCUCUCUGCUCCUCCCCCCUUCUGUGUUCACAUGCCCACAGGCUCUCUCUUUCUCUCUUUCUCUCUCAAACAAACCUGAAAAAAUGUAUGA
Long non-coding RNA from Panthera uncia (snow leopard), 4498 nucleotides. RefSeq lists it as uncharacterized. The record is from RefSeq and is a predicted model, not a curated record. The transcript is spliced from 3 exons. NCBI's taxonomy places the organism in Eukaryota, Metazoa, Chordata, Mammalia, Carnivora, Felidae.